RNAcentral lists this small nuclear RNA (103 nucleotides) under Dasypus novemcinctus (nine-banded armadillo). The record is from RNAcentral. Lineage: Eukaryota; Metazoa; Chordata; Mammalia; Cingulata; Dasypodidae.
UUGCUUCAGCAACAUAUAUGCUAAAAUUGGAAGGAUACAGUGAAGAUUAGCAUGGCCCCUGUGCAAGGAUGACAAGCAAAUUCAUGACACAUUCCAUAUGUUU